GGAGGAGUCCGUGGGGAAAGGUUUAAGCUCUUCAGCUUCUCACAUGCUUCUGGAGGAGCAAGGACUUGGGCUGGAGGCACAGGCUCUGGAGGCAGCGGGCCUCUUAUCAUUCAUCUUGCACACAACCCUCCCCUCCCAUAAAAUCAGAAGGACUAAAGUGCAGCCCCACGUGAAACGCUGAUGAGCCUGUUCUCUGCUCGCAGCAACGGAACCGGAUUUCCUAGCAAGACCCAUUCCUGCAGAAUCGUCAGGAAUUUCCUUUCAGGAAAUGAGAGGACUUGCUCCCAUCAACAUUGCCCUUGGAAAUCUGAAAGGGCAGAUGAGGAAAGGCCAAGAGAAGGAUCCCUGCUGAACCUCAAGGCAAGGUUUCUCAUGUUGGUUUUCGCUAACAUAUUUCUUGACUAGGAGCUCAGCUGCUGAAAUACGCUGUGAAUGCCUACCUGACAGGCUUUCUGUCAUGGCCUCACUUCUCACUAACCUCCUUAAAGGAUCUGAAAUUCUUUAGUUUAUUUGUACCAACAGUUAAUGGCACAGAAUACCUGUUGCUGACUUAAAACCACAACAGAGAUACACCUUGUAAAAAAACACCAGUUACAAAUUGGAUCAGAUUACUUAAGCUAUGGGAAUAAUUCCUGCAGAAUCAAGAAGAAAUAAAUAAGCAACAAAGAAGCCUUAUUUAUCAGUGUCUGAAUUUGUCACCUUCAUUAUCUGCUGAAUGGUGGGAAUACUUGAUGUCAAUGGGACGUUCCACUGAGCCAUAGAAACUGUCUGCAUCAGAACCAGAGUCACUGCAAAAGAAAAGACACAGUUACUUCUGUUUAGCAGGACUGCAGCACUGGAAAGGAAUGCUGGAAAAGCAGAAGCAAUCUGUUCCUGUUUCCCAAUUAACAGUCAGAUAUGUUGUUGCUGUCUUUUAAAAGAUUUCAUUUCUUUUACACAAAGCUGACAUUGAAAGUGCUCUUUGUUUAAAGAUUUGGGUUUUUCUUCAUAUUCUUUAAAGUAUAAAUUGGGAAGGGAUUUUCCUCUUGGGUCUUACUUCACAUGUUCGUACUUAACAGGAAGCUACUUGUAGGUGCAAAAAGCCUAAAACACCACUGUAAGAGCUAGUGCAAAAGGGAUAAAAAAGUCAAUAAAGAAUGAACAGAUUUAUA
Molecule: long non-coding RNA, 1151 nt
Organism: Motacilla alba alba
Lineage: Eukaryota; Metazoa; Chordata; Aves; Passeriformes; Motacillidae
Exons: 2
Source: RefSeq, a predicted model, not a curated record